CCUACGGGUGGCAGCAGUGAGGAAUAUUGGUCAAUGGGCGCAAGCCUGAACCAGCCAAGUCGCGUGAGGGAAGACGGCCCUACGGGUUGUAAACCUCUUUUGCCGGGGAGCAAGCCUGAGCACGUGUGCCCAGGCGGAGAGUACACGGAGAAAAAGCAGCGGCUAGCUCUGUGCCAGCAGCCGCGGUAAUACGGAGGAUGGGAGCGUUAUCCGAAUGUAUUGGGUUUAAAGGGUGCGCAGGCGGGCUGUUAAGCCGGCGGUAAAAAUUCAGGGCUCAAGCCUGGCGAGCCGUCGGAACUGGCAGCCUGGAGUGGGCGAGAAGUAUGCGGAAUGCGUGGUGGAGCGGUGAAAUGCAUAGAUAUCACGCAGAACGCCGCUUGCGAAGGCAGCAUACCGGCGCCCGACUGACGCUGAGGCACGAAAGCGUGGGGAUCGAACAGGAUUAGAUACCCCUGUAGUC
This 460-nucleotide ribosomal RNA is filed under the name uncultured bacterium. Its description in RNAcentral is "partial 16S ribosomal RNA". It matches the Rfam family "Bacterial small subunit ribosomal RNA", at positions 338 to 795 of the family's 1533-position model. The record is from RNAcentral.